RNAcentral lists this transfer RNA (52 nucleotides) under Parachtes teruelis. RNAcentral's name for it is "tRNA-Gly". The record is from RNAcentral. Lineage: Eukaryota; Metazoa; Arthropoda; Arachnida; Araneae; Dysderidae.
UAUUAUAAAGUAUUUUACAUCUAAUUUCCAAUUAGAUAAAGAUUAUAUAUAU